This 600-nucleotide long non-coding RNA is filed under the name Ictidomys tridecemlineatus (thirteen-lined ground squirrel). RNAcentral describes it as "lncRNA (ENSSTOG00000034197.1)". Lineage: Eukaryota; Metazoa; Chordata; Mammalia; Rodentia; Sciuridae. The record is from RNAcentral.
GCCACUCCCCUCUGGGGGAAGGCUGGCAAAUCCUAACACUCCUGUCAGUCUGAAAACUGGAGACGUUUCUUAAAAACAGCCGCUUCCUCUUCUACCCAGGCAGGUAGCCCUGGAGGAGUGGCCCGAUGCCCACGGGGCGAGGCCACAGCCGCUUGGGAAACCCAGGCUGGACGCCCAGGACGCAGGCUCCACAGUGGUUUUCAGAAACCACAGCUUUUGUGGGAAGAGACUAAGACUGUGUGUGAACUCAGAGCCACCACAGGACACUCGGCCGAGGUCAACUUCUGGAGGAAAGGAAAACUGCUCUCCUGAGCGUCACAGCAGAAAAACGGCAACAAGAAAAGGAAGCCAUGCCAGCGCUUCCAGGGCCACAAUCUCAGGACCUUCCUCCUCCUGAUCUCCCAAAGCCCAUCUACGCGUGAACUAUGGCAAGCUCACAGGUCUUUCCGCAGCUCCUCUCGGUCGCAUGCCUGCCUCUCACUGGGAAUUCAUGUGUCCGUAAGUUUACAUUAGUAGCAUCGUGGACGACUUACAGACUGUAGUGCUGCCUGUGAAGGGCACAGUCUCCUACCAAAACUGUUCUGAAUCCAUGCACUGGAA